Molecule: unclassified non-coding RNA, 276 nt
Filed under: plant metagenome
Description: partial contains small subunit ribosomal RNA, internal transcribed spacer 1, and 5.8S ribosomal RNA
Source: RNAcentral
UCUCCGUUGGUGAACCAGCGGAGGGAUCAUUACAGAGUUUAUUAUAACUCCUAAACCCAUGUGAACCUACCUUCUGUUGCCUCGGCAGGCAAGUCGUAUCUUGCUACCCUAUAGGACCCUAUCUUGUAAGACGUUACCUUAUAAGGUCCUAUCCGGUAGAGAGAUGCGGUACUACCUGCCGGUGGACUGAAAGAAAAAUUCUGUUUAAUAAAUGGUAUUCUGAAUCAUUAUAUGGAAAUUAAGUUAAAACUUUCAACAAUGGAUCUCUUGGUUCUG